Molecule: long non-coding RNA, 470 nt
Filed under: Dermacentor andersoni
Lineage: Eukaryota; Metazoa; Arthropoda; Arachnida; Ixodida; Ixodidae
Description: uncharacterized LOC126528509
Source: RNAcentral
GGCGAGAAAUAAGCAACGUCCCUCGCACGUGUGCGGUGGCCGAAGCUUCAAGGCAUGUCAAAUAAUAAUUGCUGCGUGGUGGGGUGCUCAAACACUUACAAAAACUCGCCGGCGACACGGUUUUAUUCGUUCCCCGCGAGGCCUCAUGAGCGGGAGCGACGGAAACAAUGGAUCGCCGCCGUUCGGCGUGGAAGUACAGACGGCAGUCCGUGGCAGCCUACCAAGCACAGCAGGAUCUGCAGCAGUCACUUUGUAAAUGGCGAGAAGUCGGACGAUCAGAGAAGCCCUGCCUAUCUACCAACCUUGUUUCCAAGUGUGUACAGGUCCACUAAUGUUGCUGCUGCACACAGGUAUGAAAGGCUCCGGUCACGUGAGCAGCACAAACAACCCACAUGGGGCUGUGUGUUGCCAGUUCCUGACGACCAAGAAUGCGAUGCUGCGACUACAGAGCACACAAGUGUAGGUAUCCC